Molecule: ribosomal RNA, 486 nt
Filed under: uncultured bacterium
Lineage: Bacteria
Description: partial 16S ribosomal RNA
Rfam family: Bacterial small subunit ribosomal RNA
Source: RNAcentral
AUUGAACGCUGGCGGCAUGCCUUACACAUGCAAGUCGAACGGCAACACGCGGGCUUGUGCUUGCUGGCGGGUGACGGACGGGUGAGGCAUCCAAAGGUACCCGUUCUGUGGGGGGAGCUAGCCCGGCGAGAGCCUGAUACCUACCGCGAACGAUGUACGAAUGAGAGGGAGGGUCAGUCGUCGCUCGCUCGGUACGGUUGGCGGAUGUCUGAUUAGGUAGUUGGUGGGGUAAAGGCCUACCAAGGCGACGAUCAGUAGCUGGUCUGAGAGGACGACCAGCCACACUGGGACUGAGACACGGCCCAGACUCCUACGGGAGGCAGCAGUGGGGAAUUUUGGACAAUGGGCGAAAGCCUGAUCCAGCAAUGCCGCGUGUGGGAAGAAGGCCUUCGGGUUGUAAAGCGCUUUUGUCCGGAAAGAAAUCGUUGUGCUUAAUACGGGCGGGGAAUGACGGUACCGGAAGAAUAAGCACCGGCUAACUACGUG